ACGGGUGAGUAACGCGUGGGAAUCUACCUAGUUCUACGGAACAACAGUUGGAAACGACUGCUAAUACCGUAUACGCCCUAAGGGGGAAAGAUUUAUCGGAAUUAGAUGAGCCCGCGUAAGAUUAGCUAGUUGGUGGGGUAAUGGCCUACCAAGGCGACGAUCUUUAGCUGGUCUGAGAGGAUGAUCAGCCACACUGGGACUGAGACACGGCCCAGACUCCUACGGGAGGCAGCAGUGGGGAAUAUUGGACAAUGGGCGCAAGCCUGAUCCAGCCAUGCCGCGUGAGUGAUGAAGGCCUUAGGGUUGUAAAGCUCUUUCAGUGGGGAAGAUAAUGACGGUACCCACAGAAGAAGCCCCGGCUAACUUCGUGCCAGCAGCCGCGGUAAUACGAAGGGGGCUAGCGUUGUUCGGAUUUACUGGGCGUAAAGCGCACGUAGGCGGAUUGGUCAGUUAGGGGUGAAAUCCUGGAACUCAACUCCAGAACUGCCUUUAAUACUGCCAGUCUCGAGUCCGGAAGAGGUAAGUGGAACUCCUAGUGUAGAGGUGGAAUUCGUAGA
RNAcentral lists this ribosomal RNA (557 nucleotides) under Devosia sp. BvORHM010. RNAcentral describes it as "bacterial SSU rRNA". It matches the Rfam family "Bacterial small subunit ribosomal RNA", at positions 102 to 694 of the family's 1533-position model. Lineage: Bacteria; Pseudomonadati; Pseudomonadota; Alphaproteobacteria; Hyphomicrobiales; Devosiaceae. The record is from RNAcentral.